AUUGAACGCUGGCGGCAGGCUUAACACAUGCAAGUCGAACGAUGAAGUCUAGCUUGCUAGACGGAUUAGUGGCGAACGGGUGAGUAAUGCUUAGGAAUCUGCCUAUUAGUGGGGGAUAACGUAGGGAAACUUACGCUAAUACCGCAUACGACCUACGGGUGAAAGGGGGCUUUCAGCUCUCGCU
This 184-nucleotide ribosomal RNA is filed under the name uncultured Moraxella sp. RNAcentral's name for it is "partial 16S ribosomal RNA". It matches the Rfam family "Bacterial small subunit ribosomal RNA", at positions 30 to 219 of the family's 1533-position model. Lineage: Bacteria; Pseudomonadati; Pseudomonadota; Gammaproteobacteria; Moraxellales; Moraxellaceae. The record is from RNAcentral.